GUGAAACAAACAAUUCUAACUAUCUUCACUAUCUUUGCUCCUCACAAACUAAGGUCACACUUAGCCUCCUGAAUUCCAGAGAGAGUAAACCCAGCCUAUCUAAGCUCCCCUUAUAACUAAAGCCCUCCAUUCCAGGAAACAUCUUCUGCACAGUUUCUAAUGCAACCACAACUUUCCUGUAUCUGGCGACCAGAACUGUGCACAAUAUUCCAUGUAUGGCCUGACCAAUGCUUUGUUAACAUGAUGUCCUUACAUGCCUUGGCCUAUGAUGGCAAAUUUACCAAAUGCCUUCUUGACUAAAGUGUCCAUUUUCAGGUGCUAUGAACUGUGUAUCAAUAAGCUUGAGGUCCCUGCAACGUACUGUACAUGUCUUGUUUAUAUUUGAUGUCCCAAACUGCGGAUGCAAUCUCCCAGUUGCCUGGAUUCCCCUCUCAUCUGUUUAUUCUUGCUUUAAUCCAAUGCUUAGUUCUGAGUUCAGACUCAAGAGAAAGUCUACGAUUUCUUUAAUUUUUCAGCAGUUCACCCUUGGAUCACAUUCACGUCGCUUUCUUUUGCAGCUGAACUCUGUAAUCUGCUCUUUGCAAGUAUGAGGACUGAGUCGUGGGAUUGCCUUGGCUGUGGAACUCCCUCUGUCACAUCAAUGUACUUUGCAGAUGCAGCCUGACCUGCUGGUGUUUCCUGCUUUUUUUUUUUUUUUAUUCAUAAUCUACAUUUGGCAGAUACGACAGGGAGGGAAACAUGUGGUCGAGCAUCGCUUCCAUUUGGACGUCACAUGGUCAGUAAGCAUUGGUUUAAUUAUUUGAUGUAUGACUUAGUGCCUCUUCUCAGACACACUAACCUGGCAGUGGGGUGGUGGGGAGGAGGAUAGAGAAUGGAAGUUUGCACUCAAAUUGCUAAAAACAUUGUAUCUUCAAACCAUUUUGUUAGUAAAGUAUCACAGAGUAUCAUCCGCUCUUUCUGGGGCUAAAAGAAAAUAAUGUCACAGGUGAAGUGAUUGCUUCUACAUCUUGUCCACAGUACACAGAGUUACAUUGUCGUAAAACACGGCACAUUCCUGUUCCAAUAAAUGUAGUCAUGAUGGAAUUGAAAGCAGUUUCUCCAAGAGAUUAACUGUUACAACUAGGUAGAUAGACAGAACAUCAAGCCUCUCUGUGUCAAUAAUCAGAUGGUGUGAUAUAGUACACAACAUGCACACCAGAGAUGUUAGACAGUGUUCAACACAAGAAUAGACACAUACCAGUUGCAUGUACAAUAUACAAAAAAAAGAACACAUGUUGCAGUUGAGUUAGACAGGUUGCAAUAUCAGAAAACACACCUGAUGUGUUAGAUAGUGUACAUGAAGGCAUGGACACACCUGGUAUAUGAGACAUAUAUGAUAAUGUGAGAUAUGAGAAAACACACACCAGCUGUAUUAGAAGAUGUGACAUUAGAUUGCACAGAAAUGCAGUAUAUGGACAAUUUUGUGUAGACAGACACACAUACCUGUAGAGUUACAGGCUGCAGUUUCAGGAAACACAACGGGCGUGUUAGACAGUGUGUCACAGGAAGGCACAAACAGCAAGUGUGUUAGAGAGUGUGCGAGAGGAGGACAAACACAUCAGGUGAGUUAAUGCGAUGCAAGCACAUACUCCGGGUGUGUUAGGCAGUGGGACAUGGGAAUGUUAUUAAAAAAAACUGCCAGCGAAGGUUAUAGUAAAUAAAGUCAUGGUUUACACAGAAACAUUGAAUGUUUGUAACUUCACAAACCCAGUUGUAAACUGCUGGCAUCAUUUUAAAUAAAAUAUUAAUUUUC
Molecule: long non-coding RNA, 1792 nt
Organism: Leucoraja erinaceus (little skate)
Lineage: Eukaryota; Metazoa; Chordata; Chondrichthyes; Rajiformes; Rajidae
Exons: 3
Source: RefSeq, a predicted model, not a curated record